CGGUGGUCAUAGCGUUGGGGAAACGCCCGGUUCCAUUCCGAACCCGGUAGCUAAGCCUAACUGCGCCGAUGGUACUGCACUCGGGAGGGU
RNAcentral lists this ribosomal RNA (90 nucleotides) under Dermabacter sp. HFH0086. The record is from RNAcentral. Lineage: Bacteria; Bacillati; Actinomycetota; Actinomycetes; Micrococcales; Dermabacteraceae.